RNAcentral lists this ribosomal RNA (510 nucleotides) under uncultured bacterium. Its description in RNAcentral is "partial 16S ribosomal RNA". It matches the Rfam family "Bacterial small subunit ribosomal RNA", at positions 28 to 507 of the family's 1533-position model. The record is from RNAcentral.
GACGAACGCUGGCGGCGGGCUUAACACAUGCAAGUCGAACGAAGAGGGCUGUAAGCUUGCUUCCAUCAUGCUUAGUGGCGGACGGGUGGGUAACGCGUAAGCAACCUGCCCUUCCGUGGGUGACAACAGUUGUAAACGACGGCUAAUACCUCAUACGAUCUAACCUCUGAAUCCAUGAUAUAUGAAAGGUGGCCUCUACAUGUAAGCUAUCACUGAAGUAGGGUUAUGCGUCUGGUUAGGUAGCUGGAGAGGAAACGGACAAGCAAGGCGAGGAUCAGUAGCAGGUCUGGGAGGAUGAAGGGCCACACUGGGAUUGGGACACGGCCAAGACCCCUACGGGAAGGAGCAGUGGGGAAUCUUACGAAAUGGCAGAAAGUCUGACGGAGCAACGCCGCGUGAGUGAUGACGGCGUUCGGGCUGUAAAGUUUUGUUAAUCGGGGCGAAAGGACUUCUUGCGAAUAGUGAGAAUGAUUGACGGUACCGGACUAGAAAGCCACGGCUAACUACGUG